GAAAAUUUAGUUAAGUUUAUAAUAUCAGCUUGUCAUGCUGGAAUCACCUCCCAGGUAAUUUUCU
Molecule: transfer RNA, 64 nt
Filed under: Tetraclita japonica (Japanese acorn barnacle)
Lineage: Eukaryota; Metazoa; Arthropoda; Thecostraca; Balanomorpha; Tetraclitidae
Description: tRNA-Asp
Source: RNAcentral